Molecule: ribosomal RNA, 253 nt
Filed under: uncultured bacterium
Lineage: Bacteria
Description: partial 16S ribosomal RNA
Rfam family: Bacterial small subunit ribosomal RNA
Source: RNAcentral
GACGGAGGGUGCAAGCGUUGUUCGGAUUGACUGGGCGUAAAGGGCGUGUAGGCGGUCGGUCAAGUCUGGUGUGAAAGCCCGGGGCUCAGCUCCGGAAGUGCAUCGGAAACUAGCUGGCUGGAGCGCGAUAGAGGAGGGCGGAAUUCCUGGUGUAGCGGUGAAAUGCGUAGAUAUCAGGAGGAACACCGAUGGCGAAGGCAGGUCUCUGGGCCAUAACUGACGCUGAGAAGCGAAAGCAUGGGGAGCGAACAGG